ACCUGUGAUCAUACCACCCUGAUCAGGCCCAAUCCUGUCAGAUCUCAGAAGCUAAGCAGGUUUGGGCCUGUUUAGUACUUAGAUGUGAGAAAAUAGAAUGGUGGUUGCCAGGGGCU
Molecule: ribosomal RNA, 116 nt
Organism: Aotus nancymaae (Ma's night monkey)
Lineage: Eukaryota; Metazoa; Chordata; Mammalia; Primates; Aotidae
Source: Ensembl